GUGGGGAAUAUUGGACAAUGGGGGGAACCCUGAUCCAGCCAUGCCGCGUGUGUGAAGAAGGCCUUUUGGUUGUAAAGCACUUUAAGCGAGGAGGAGGCUACCGAGAUUAAUACUCUUGGAUAGUGGACGUUACUCGCAGAAUAAGCACCGGCUAACUCUGUGCCAGCAGCCGCGGUAAUACAGAGGGUGCGAGCGUUAAUCGGAUUUACUGGGCGUAAAGCGUGCGUAGGCGGCUUUUUAAGUCGGAUGUGAAAUCGCCGAGCUGAACUUGGGAAUUGCAUUCGAUACUGGGAAGCUAGAGUAUGGGAGAGGAUGGUAGAAUUCCAGGUGUAGCGGUGAAAUGCGUAGAGAUCUGGAGGAAUACCGAUGGCGAAGGCAGCCAUCUGGCCUAAUACUGACGCUGAGGUACGAAAGCAUGGGGAGCAAACAGGAUUAGAAACCCCUGUAGUCC
Molecule: ribosomal RNA, 451 nt
Filed under: uncultured bacterium
Lineage: Bacteria
Description: partial 16S ribosomal RNA
Rfam family: Bacterial small subunit ribosomal RNA
Source: RNAcentral